Sinocyclocheilus rhinocerous is the source of this 105-nucleotide long non-coding RNA. RefSeq lists it as uncharacterized. NCBI's taxonomy places the organism in Eukaryota, Metazoa, Chordata, Actinopteri, Cypriniformes, Cyprinidae. The record is from RefSeq and is a predicted model, not a curated record. The transcript has 3 exons.
UGACUCACAGUCUGUAUGUUUUCAUAUGUAAAAAAUUUGCCACUGACAAUACAAACGGGAGUUUUGAGCAGUGUAGAGUAGGGCUUGUUGUUUGUCGUUUCUCCG